This 495-nucleotide ribosomal RNA is filed under the name uncultured bacterium. RNAcentral describes it as "partial 16S ribosomal RNA". It matches the Rfam family "Bacterial small subunit ribosomal RNA", at positions 28 to 505 of the family's 1533-position model. The record is from RNAcentral.
GACGAACGCUGGCGGCGUGCCUAAUACAUGCAAGUUGAGCGCUGAAGGUUGGUACUUGUACCGACUGGAUGAGCAGCGAACGGGUGAGUAACGCGUGGGGAAUCUGCCUUUGAGCGGGGGACAACAUUUGGAAACGAAUGCUAAUACCGCAUAAAAACUUUAAACACAAGUUUUAAGUUUGAAAGAUGCAAUUGCAUCACUCAAAGAUGAUCCCGCGUUGUAUUAGCUAGUUGGUGAGGUAAAGGCUCACCAAGGCGAUGAUACAUAGCCGACCUGAGAGGGUGAUCGGCCCCCUUGGGCCUGAGCCCCGGCCCAAACUCCUCCGGGGGGCCCCUGUAGGGAAUCUUCGGCAAUGGACGAAAGUUUGACCGAGCAACGCCGCGGGGGUGAAGAAGGUUUGCGGAUCGUAAAACCUUUUUGGUAGAGAAGAACGUUGGGGGGGGUGGAAAGCCCAUCAAGUGACGGUAACUCCCCAGAAAGGGCCGGCUAACUCCG